CACAAAUAUAACAAGACAUAACAACCCAAUAAGAAAGCUCAGAGGAACAAACUAAUUUGCAAUAUCACAUGGAUUGGGACAACAGGACCAUCUCGGAUGAUGAUACCAGAUAAACAAAAUUAAAUUUGACAAAACUAGUUGAACAAAACAUCAACAUACACAACAUAAAAACAUAACCACCACAGAUCUGCCACCAUAAUCGCGUAACUCUCAAAACAGCCUAAUGCCAUAAGAACCAGAACCGUGAAACAUGAAGGAAUGAGGCAGUGCAAGCACCCGAGCAUAGUUGUGUUGUAGCUCUACACAUAUUCCAAGAUGUUCGUGAGAAAUCGUUUUUUCAGAUUAGCAGUUGUAACCAAGAGAUGAAGCCAGACCGAGAGGGGAGAGAGAGAGAGAGAGAGAGUCUGAGUGAUAGCCAACAUUAACCGAGAAACUCCAUCGCCGCAAGAUUCGAAAUCACCAAUACACCUAGAAGAAACAACGACCAAUUGGGGGACAGCCAAGAGACAACACUGAGAGCAUUGGAACGGUGGAGAUCUAGGAAAACUCACAAGAAUAGAGCAUAAAGCCUUAGAUCCAAGCAAGAAAACUCGAUCAAGUCACUAGCUCUCAAGAAGGAGACAGCUUUGGACCCAUCAAAAUGGGUGAAGCCAAAUGCUUCGAGAGAGACCUCGAAAGAUACUCAAAACAUGGUUAAGAAACAGGAGAGAAAGGGGAGGGGUAAUGAUCUCCUUCCUCUUAGUGAGGUGAAACGGCGGUGAAAGGCACUCUCAGAAGCUAGGGUUUUUUACUUUUUCAAACUACACCUUGUGAGGUUUGCAUUAUUACCUUCUUCAAAAUUCUUAAGAUCCACAUUGCUACGUAUCAAAUCAAAAGUCUUAAGAUUU
This 887-nucleotide long non-coding RNA is filed under the name Prunus dulcis (almond). RNAcentral describes it as "sRNA ncRNA". The record is from RNAcentral. Lineage: Eukaryota; Viridiplantae; Streptophyta; Magnoliopsida; Rosales; Rosaceae.